This 462-nucleotide ribosomal RNA is filed under the name uncultured bacterium. RNAcentral describes it as "partial 16S ribosomal RNA". It matches the Rfam family "Bacterial small subunit ribosomal RNA", at positions 28 to 507 of the family's 1533-position model. The record is from RNAcentral.
GACGAACGCUGGCGGCGUGCUUAACACAUGCAAGUCGAGCGGUAAGGCCUUUCGGGGUACACGAGCGGCGAACGGGUGAGUAACACGUGGGUGUUCUGCCCUGCACUUCGGGAUAAGCCUGGGAAACUGGGUCUAAUACCGGAUAUGACCUCCUAUCGCAUGGUGGGUGGCGGAAAGAUUUAUCGGUACAGGAUGGGCCCGCGGCCAAUCAGCUUGUUGGUGGGGUAAUGGCCUACCAAGGCGACGACGGGUAGCCGACCUGAGAGGGUGACCGGCCACACUGGGACUGAGACACGGCCCAGACUCCUACGUGAGGCAGCAGUGGGGAAUAUGGCACAAUGGGCGAAAGCCUGAGGCAGCGACGCCGCGUGAGGGAUGACGGCCUUCGGGUUGUAAACCUCUUUCAGCAAGGACGAAGCGCAAGUGACGGUACCUGCAGAAGAAGCACCGGCUAACUACGUG